GAUGAACGCUGGCGGCGUGCCUAACACAUGCAAGUCGAGCGGAUGUAGCAAUACAUCAGCGGCAAACGGGUGAGUAACACGUAAGUAACCUACCUCGAAGACUGGAACAACUAGUCGAAAGAUUGGCUAAUUCCAGAUGUGUCCCGCGGAACACAUGUUCUGCAGGGUAAAUCCCGCAAGGGGCUUUGAGAUGGGCUUGCGGCCUAUCAGCUAGUUGGCGGGGUAACGGCCCACCAAAGGCUAAUGACGGGUAGCUGGUCUGAGAGGACGACCAGUCACAAGGGAACUGAGACACGGUCCCUACUCCUACGGGAGGCUG
RNAcentral lists this ribosomal RNA (319 nucleotides) under uncultured bacterium. RNAcentral's name for it is "bacterial SSU rRNA". It matches the Rfam family "Bacterial small subunit ribosomal RNA", at positions 28 to 351 of the family's 1533-position model. The record is from RNAcentral.